UUGAAAGCCAGAUUGACUGACUCUGUUCAGAGAGACAGUCCAGGACUUCAUUUGUUCAUGUUAAAGCUAUUUAGUCAAGAAGGGCAAUGUUGACACCAUCAGUUGAUUACCAGGAAAGAACCUUGAGUUAGAGCUCCCAAGAAACCCAAGUUCACGUGUGAAAAUGGAAAAAUAUUCUCACCUAGAACACAGGGAAGUCUUGAGAAGUUACUGGCCUGUACCUGUGGAAUAUGCAAGAUGGAAAGAUGCCCAAGAAGCCCUGAUGGCCAGAAGGUGUCCUGAAGCUGGAUCUACAGGCAGCUAUGACCUGGAAACCAAAUUCAGAUCCUCUAGAAGCGCAGCAAGCUCCUUCCCCUGCAGAGCCACCACUGCAGCCCCCUUAACCACGUCUGUUCUCAUUCAACACCAUCACUAACAUUCAAAGAAAUCUAUUCAUUUGUCAUUUCUUUCCAUUGCUGAAUGAGACAAUGUAAUAAUAAUUUUAGAGAAACAAGAUAAAAGUCUAUAUUA
This is a non-coding RNA of Cricetulus griseus (Chinese hamster), 510 nucleotides long. The record is from RefSeq and is a predicted model, not a curated record. Lineage: Eukaryota; Metazoa; Chordata; Mammalia; Rodentia; Cricetidae.